GAUGAACGCUGGCGGCGUGCCUAAUACAUGCAAGUCGAGCGAACGGACGAGAAGCUUGCUUCUCUGAUGUUAGCGGCGGACGGGUGAGUAACACGUGGAUCACCUACCUAUAAGACUGGGAUAACUUCGGGAAACCGGAGCUAAUACCGGAUAAUAUUUUGAACCGCAUGGUUCAAAAGUGAAAGACGGUCUUGCUGUCACUUAUAGAUGGAUCCGCGCUGCAUUAGCUAGUUGGUAAGGUAACGGCUUACCAAGGCAACGAUGCAUAGCCGACUGAGAGGGUGAUCGGCCACACUGGAACUGAGACACGGUCCAGACUCCUACGGGAGGCAGCAGUAGGGAAUCUUCCGCAAUGGGCGAAAGCCUGACGGAGCAACGCCGCGUGAGUGAUGAAGGUCUUCGGAUCGUAAAACUCUGUUAUUAGGGAAGAACAUAUGUGUAAGUAACUGUGCACAUCUUGACGGUACCUAAUCAGAAAGCCACGGCUAACUACGUG
Molecule: ribosomal RNA, 496 nt
Filed under: uncultured bacterium
Lineage: Bacteria
Description: partial 16S ribosomal RNA
Rfam family: Bacterial small subunit ribosomal RNA
Source: RNAcentral